CGCGUAGGCGGGAUAUUAAGUCAGGUGUGAAAACUCAGGGCUCAACCUUGGGACUGCACUGAAACUGAUAUUCUUGAGGACAGGAGAGGAAAGUGGAAUUCCUAGUGUAGCGGUGAAAUGCGUAGAUAUUAGGAGGAACACCAGUGGCGAAGGCGACUUUCUGGACUGUAACUGACGCUGAGGCGCGAAAGCGUGGGGAGUGAACG
This 206-nucleotide ribosomal RNA is filed under the name uncultured Bacillota bacterium. Its description in RNAcentral is "uncultured Firmicutes bacterium partial 16S ribosomal RNA". It matches the Rfam family "Bacterial small subunit ribosomal RNA", at positions 568 to 774 of the family's 1533-position model. The record is from RNAcentral. Lineage: Bacteria; Bacillati; Bacillota.